UGAUAAUUAGUUUAACCCAAAACAAAUGAUUUCGACUCAUUAGAUUAUGAUUCAGCUCAUAGUUAUCAUC
Molecule: transfer RNA, 70 nt
Filed under: Pipistrellus kuhlii (Kuhl's pipistrelle)
Lineage: Eukaryota; Metazoa; Chordata; Mammalia; Chiroptera; Vespertilionidae
Description: tRNA-Arg
Rfam family: tRNA
About the family: Transfer RNA (tRNA) molecules are approximately 80 nucleotides in length. Their secondary structure includes four short double-helical elements and three loops (D, anti-codon, and T loops).
Source: RNAcentral